UUAAGUUAUUAAGGGCGCACGGUGGAUGCCUUGGCACUAGAAGCCGAUGAAGGACGUUACUAACGACGAUAUGCUUUGGGGAGCUGUAAGUAAGCUUUGAUCCAGAGAUUUCCGAAUGGGGAAACCCAGCAUGAGUUAUGUCAUGUUAUCGAUAUGUGAAUACAUAGCAUAUCAGAAGGCACACCCGGAGAACUGAAACAUCUUAGUACCCGGAGGAAGAGAAAGAAAAUUCGAUUCCCUUAGUAGCGGCGAGCGAAACGGGAAGAGCCCAAACCAACAAGCUUGCUUGUUGGGGUUGUAGGACACUCUAUACGGAGUUACAAAGGACGACAUUAGACGAAUCAUCUGGAAAGAUGAAUCAAAGAAGGUAAUAAUCCUGUAGUCGAAAAUGUUGUCUCUCUUGAGUGGAUCCUGAGUACGACGGAGCACGUGAAAUUCCGUCGGAAUCUGGGAGGACCAUCUCCUAAGGCUAAAUACUCUCUAGUGACCGAUAGUGAACCAGUACCGUGAGGGAAAGGUGAAAAGCACCCCGGAAGGGGAGUGAAAUAGAACCUGAAACCGUGUGCUUACAAGUAGUCAGAGCCCGUUAAUGGGUGAUGGCGUGCCUUUUGUAGAAUGAACCGGCGAGUUACGAUUUGAUGCAAGGUUAAGCAGUAAAUGUGGAGCCGUAGCGAAAGCGAGUCUGAAUAGGGCGUUUAGUAUUUGGUCGUAGACCCGAAACCAGGUGAUCUACCCUUGGUCAGGUUGAAGUUCAGGUAACACUGAAUGGAGGACCGAACCGACUUACGUUGAAAAGUGAGCGGAUGAACUGAGGGUAGCGGAGAAAUUCCAAUCGAACCUGGAGAUAGCUGGUUCUCUCCGAAAUAGCUUUAGGGCUAGCCUCAAGUGAUGAUUAUUGGAGGUAGAGCACUGUUUGGACGAGGGGCCCCUCUCGGGUUACCGAAUUCAGACAAACUCCGAAUGCCAAUUAAUUUAACUUGGGAGUCAGAACAUGGGUGAUAAGGUCCGUGUUCGAAAGGGAAACAGCCCAGACCACCAGCUAAGGUCCCAAAAUAUAUGUUAAGUGGAAAAGGAUGUGGCGUUGCCCAGACAACUAGGAUGUUGGCUUAGAAGCAGCCAUCAUUUAAAGAGUGCGUAAUAGCUCACUAGUCGAGUGACACUGCGCCGAAAAUGUACCGGGGCUAAACAUAUUACCGAAGCUGUGGAUUGUCCUUUGGACAAUGGUAGGAGAGCGUUCUAAGGGCGUUGAAGCAUGAUCGUAAGGACAUGUGGAGCGCUUAGAAGUGAGAAUGCCGGUGUGAGUAGCGAAAGACGGGUGAGAAUCCCGUCCACCGAUUGACUAAGGUUUCCAGAGGAAGGCUCGUCCGCUCUGGGUUAGUCGGGUCCUAAGCUGAGGCCGACAGGCGUAGGCGAUGGAUAACAGGUUGAUAUUCCUGUACCACCUAUAAUCGUUUUAAUCGAUGGGGGGGACGCAGUAGGAUAGGCGAAGCGUGCGAUUGGAUUGCACGUCUAAGCAGUAAGGCUGAGUAUUAGGCAAAUCCGGUACUCAUUAAGGCUGAGCUGUGAUGGGGAGAAGACAUUGUGUCUUCGAGUCGUUGAUUUCACACUGCCGAGAAAAGCCUCUAGAUAGAAAAUAGGUGCCCGUACCGCAAACCGACACAGGUAGUCAAGAUGAGAAUUCUAAGGUGAGCGAGCGAACUCUCGUUAAGGAACUCGGCAAAAUGACCCCGUAACUUCGGGAGAAGGGGUGCUCUUUAGGGUUAACGCCCAGAAGAGCCGCAGUGAAUAGGCCCAAGCGACUGUUUAUCAAAAACACAGGUCUCUGCUAAACCGUAAGGUGAUGUAUAGGGGCUGACGCCUGCCCGGUGCUGGAAGGUUAAGAGGAGUGGUUAGCUUCUGCGAAGCUACGAAUCGAAGCCCCAGUAAACGGCGGCCGUAACUAUAACGGUCCUAAGGUAGCGAAAUUCCUUGUCGGGUAAGUUCCGACCCGCACGAAAGGCGUAACGAUUUGGGCACUGUCUCAACGAGAGACUCGGUGAAAUCAUAGUACCUGUGAAGAUGCAGGUUACCCGCGACAGGACGGAAAGACCCCGUGGAGCUUUACUGUAGCCUGAUAUUGAAAUUCGGCACAGCUUGUACAGGAUAGGUAGGAGCCUUUGAAACGUGAGCGCUAGCUUACGUGGAGGCGCUGGUGGGAUACUACCCUAGCUGUGUUGGCUUUCUAACCCGCACCACUUAUCGUGGUGGGAGACAGUGUCAGGCGGGCAGUUUGACUGGGGCGGUCGCCUCCUAAAAGGUAACGGAGGCGCUCAAAGGUUCCCUCAGAAUGGUUGGAAAUCAUUCAUAGAGUGUAAAGGCAUAAGGGAGCUUGACUGCGAGACCUACAAGUCGAGCAGGGUCGAAAGACGGACUUAGUGAUCCGGUGGUUCCGUAUGGAAGGGCCAUCGCUCAACGGAUAAAAGCUACCCCGGGGAUAACAGGCUUAUCUCCCCCAAGAGUUCACAUCGACGGGGAGGUUUGGCACCUCGAUGUCGGCUCAUCGCAUCCUGGGGCUGUAGUCGGUCCCAAGGGUUGGGCUGUUCGCCCAUUAAAGCGGUACGCGAGCUGGGUUCAGAACGUCGUGAGACAGUUCGGUCCCUAUCCGUCGUGGGCGUAGGAAAUUUGAGAGGAGCUGUCCUUAGUACGAGAGGACCGGGAUGGACAUACCUCUGGUGUACCAGUUGUCGUGCCAACGGCAUAGCUGGGUAGCUAUGUGUGGACGGGAUAAGUGCUGAAAGCAUCUAAGCAUGAAGCCCCCCUCAAGAUGAGAUUUCCCAACUUCGGUUAUAAGAUCCCUCAAAGAUGAUGAGGUUAAUAGGUUCGAGGUGGAAGCAUGGUGACAUGUGGAGCUGACGAAUACUAAUCGAUCGAAGACUUAAUCAA
This 2922-nucleotide ribosomal RNA is filed under the name Staphylococcus aureus. Its description in RNAcentral is "bacterial LSU rRNA". It matches the Rfam family "Bacterial large subunit ribosomal RNA". The record is from RNAcentral. RNAcentral also lists the same sequence under 36 other names. Lineage: Bacteria; Bacillati; Bacillota; Bacilli; Caryophanales; Staphylococcaceae.